UACGUAGGUGGCGAGCGUUGUCCGGAAUUAUUGGGCGUAAAGAGCGUGUAGGUGGGAUAGUAAGUCUCAUGUAAAAGUGCGGGGCUCAACCCCGUAGAGCGUGAGAAACUGGUAUUCUUGAGUGCCGGAGAGGAAAGCGGAAUUCCCAGUGUAGCGGUGAAAUGCGUAGAUAUUGGGAGGAACACCAGUGGCGAAGGCGGCUUUCUGGACGGUGUCUGACACUGAGGCGCGAAAGCCAGGGGAGC
This 245-nucleotide ribosomal RNA is filed under the name uncultured Veillonellaceae bacterium. RNAcentral describes it as "partial 16S ribosomal RNA". It matches the Rfam family "Bacterial small subunit ribosomal RNA", at positions 524 to 769 of the family's 1533-position model. The record is from RNAcentral. Lineage: Bacteria; Bacillati; Bacillota; Negativicutes; Veillonellales; Veillonellaceae.